UACGUAGGGGCCUAGCGUUGUCCGGAUUUAUUGGGCGUAAAGAGCUCGUAGGCGGUUUGGUGAGUCGGGUGUGAAAUCUCCACGCUCAACGUGGAGGGGCCACCCGAUACUGCCAUGACUAGAGUCCGGUAGGGGAGUGUGGAAUUCCCGGUGUAGCGGUGAAAUGCGCAGAUAUCAGGAAGAACACCCGUGGCGAAGGCGGUUCUCUGGGACGGUACUGACGCUGAGACGCGAAAGCGUGGGGAGCGAACAGG
Molecule: ribosomal RNA, 254 nt
Filed under: uncultured bacterium
Lineage: Bacteria
Description: partial 16S ribosomal RNA
Rfam family: Bacterial small subunit ribosomal RNA
Source: RNAcentral